Acinonyx jubatus (cheetah) is the source of this 4456-nucleotide long non-coding RNA. RefSeq lists it as uncharacterized. The transcript is spliced from 2 exons. The record is from RefSeq and is a predicted model, not a curated record. NCBI's taxonomy places the organism in Eukaryota, Metazoa, Chordata, Mammalia, Carnivora, Felidae.
CCAGGUUUCACCCACAUGCUGUUCUUCUGUGGGCGUGGAAGCUCCUUGUCCUGGGGCUGGGUCUCUGCUGACAAAGCCGUGGAGGUAUCAUGAGACAGCCUGGAACUGCUGGGUUGCAAUAUCCCCGGUGUUCAGUAGGUGUCGCUGUAACACAGGAUGAACACGACCCAGUCCUGAAAUUCUUCCAGGUCCCUGUUCUCUAGCCUGCACACAGGUUAGUACCGUUCUCCAUCAGUCCUCCAGAUUUAAAAGUUUCUAUCUUGAAUUAUCUUAGAAUGAAGAAUAAGUAUGAAUGAAGUUAUAGAAGAAUAACUUAUAAUGAACAAUCACCGCCAUUUGUUUCUCAGAGCCCAGGAAAUGGUAUUUCACAAGGAUUGUCUCUGUUUCUCUCCCACUUUUGUGCCCUCUCCUACAAUGGAGGUUCUCAAACUUCAUGGCCUCAGGAAAUUGUCACACCUCUAGAAAUUAUCAACAUCCCCCCCCCAACUGCUUUUGUUUAUGUGGGUUAUAUCUAUUAAUACUUUCCAUAUUAGAAAAUAAAAUUGAGAAAAAAUGCAAACACAGGAAUACACAAGCAUAUAUAUUCUGUUAACUGUUCAAGUGAUGAUAUCAUCUUGUGUCAAAUGGGCUCUAGAAAUUUCUGCACUUGUGAGAGAAUAAGAGUGAAAAAAGAGAAUAGUACCGUGAUGGGUUAUUAUGUAUCAUUAUGAACACAGUUUCCAUCUUGCUUAAAGAGUCUCAGGGACCCCGGAGUGUCCCAAUUCACAUUUAGAAACUGCUACUCUAUCAGUUUUGAAGUUUUGCUGUCUGUUCUUAACAAAUCUGAGGUUAAUCAAUAUUUGCUUCCAAAAGACAGAGUUUCAAAUGCUUUAAUUCUGAUUAUUCCACCUUCGUUUUUUAAAGUUUUCUUCCUCACCUUUUAUAUGCUUUGCCAUUUUUAUAGCCUCUUCUUCCUUGUUCAUAUUUCCAAGUCUCUCUUAUACUUCUUAAAAUAUACCUAUAUCCCAUAUGCUCUUCGUGCAAUGUGACUGAGGCCCCGCCCCCUGCCAAGGGCUGGUGUCUCUGUUCCCUCUCUUUGAAUCUGGGUAGGGGUUUGUCACUACUCCAAUGAGUAGAAUGUGGCGAAGGUGAUGCUUUGUGAUUUCUGAGGCUGGGUCACAAAAGGGAUGUAGCUCCUGCUUCACUCUCCAUUUCUGGGAUGCUUAUCCGUGGGAUAAGCCACCAUGCUGUGAGGAAGUCCAGGCCACAUGGUAAAGCCACAUGGGGAGGAGCUGGGGACCCAUUAACAGCCAGCAUCAACUGCCAGACGUGUAAGUGGGUUAGUCUUCCAACCUUCAAGUCUUGCACUCAGGCCUUGAACAACAUGAAGCAGAAAUAAGCCAUCCCUGCUUUACUCUCUUUGAAUUCUGGAUCUACAGAAUCCAUGAGCAUGAUGUUUGUUUUAUUUCACUACAUCACUCAUUGGUAGUAGAUGGAACAUUCCUAAAUUUCUAAUUUAGGUCUGGCACAUUUAGGUCUGGCACAUUAGGUCUAAAUAUUUGUUAGAUUUAUAAAAUACCAUAGCUAGUGUAUUAUUCUUCUGGAAUCUACCGCCUACUCUUUAGAAAAGUCCCACAACCUUCAUGGGAUAUCUUCAAUCCAUGAGUGGAACAAGAAGUCACUCUCUCGUUUGCCGGUGAAUGAAAGCCCCCAGAUCAGAGGGGGCUCCUGUCCCACACAGCUCCUUGGAAAGUCAAGAGCUAUGGAUUCCCUGGAAUCUACCCUCAAAGCAAAUAAGGCCCUCAUCCCUCUGUUUCCGAAACAAGAAGCUGUAUUGUCCCUGGCUGCGGGUGCCAUUUUGUUUUCCUCAUAAACUGGGUAGUUCCAGGACAAAAGUGAUAUGGGGAGAAGCAGACAUUUUCCAAACAGCACCUGCAUCAUCCGGUCUAAAAAUAAAUCCAGUAGGACUGGUUUUAGGAGAGAAGCCACUGCUAAAAAUAAUGCUUACACGUACAAUGACAUCAGCAGGUAACUGACCUGGGAACUGCAGGGCCCCAGCAUCUAACCGACAUCUUGAGCUCUGGUCUGCUUUGUGAGGUGAUCAAUCUGUCUUCACCCUCCACCCACCUGGCCUUCAUUUCAGGAGCCCAGGGCUGGGCCCGCUAAAUUCAAGGAAAGGGGCUGGCAGAACAUAGGGAAGCUCUGGAUUUAGAGCUUUCAUUAAAAAAUAAUAUGGACUUUCUAUUUCAAGAACAGAAUGUCUAAUAAUGCUGCUGAGGAGAAGCUCUCCAGGACCUGCUUUGAUGGUAAAUACAAAUGGUUGUAAUUAGCAUAUUAAUAGCGGUUUGAUUUCUAAGGCCGUAGGAAAGCAUCUCUCCAGCCUCUACAAUACUAUCUGCUUGGAGGUAAUUACAGAACAGAGACAGAGCCCCAGAGGGCGGAAGCCUGCUCUCCGGUUCUGCCUCUAACCAGCCUGCAGCCAAGUUUCUGCUCAAGAACAUGGAGGCGUGGAGGCUGAUCCCCCCCACUCGCACCCAUUUUAGCCCUAACCUUUCCAUGGUCUGACGACCUGAUUCCCCAAAAGUGAAAACAGAGCAUUUCAGACCCAAAAGAACCCAAGUCCCAGCAGAGACGGCCUCACACGAAUAAGGAUCGACGGUCUAUGAACGAGUCCCAGGACAACGUUGGCAACUCACAAGAGCAUCACUGAUUUUUAAAGAACGCUCCAAACCUGAUAUUCCCGGCAACCAGCCAGCACGCACCCCUGAGAGCUGAGAAGUGAAAAGCAAACUCAAGCCCCCAGGGCCGGGGUAGGGGUGGGGGUGUUGAGCCGGGAGGGUGGUACCAGGCAGGCUGCGGUUUCCAGGUCUCACACCUGCCCGCGAGCUGCACAGAACACCCCAUGCCCACCUUGGGGCUUGUGAGCACCACGCUGGGCUCUAAAUCACAGCCCAGGAUUCAGUGAAAAGCGGGCUCUGUGGCUCCUGCUCUAAUUGCUCUGGAGGGUGGAAGGUUGGGGAGCUGGAUUCGUUUGUACUCAAGAGUGGUUCUUGUCUUUUCAAAGGCGCUGAUGGGAUGGCAGGCAGGGGCCGCCUCAGGCAGCCUAAUUGCUGCAACUCUACACUCCAAUUAGACACCAAAUGAACGUGCUGAAUAAUCCAAAACAGACCAAGCUUCCGGGGACCCCUCCAAAAGCAAGUUCCAGUCCAGAGGAAGCUUUUUCCUCUCCACUCAACUGCUGAUCCCUCUAACGCCUCAAACUGGAAGCAGCUCACUCUACUGGAAGAGCCUCGAGGACAGGACGUUUGUCCUCCACUUGCAUAUGCCUAACACACAGUAGGCAGCCUCCCUCAGAAGCAGAGCUGGCCAGUGAGACGAGGACAAGCUGUUAGGUUCAGCUUCCAGAAAAGCUCCUUCAAGGUCAUUGACUCAUUGAGAGAAAUGUGCAUUUUUCCUUUUCCUUCUAUUCUUUUUUUCUACUGCUUGGAACAAGAAUGUGAUGGCUGGAGCUGCAUCAGCCGUAGUAGGCCAUGAGGUAUCUGGUAGAGCAGAAAGAUAGAAGGAACCCGGGUCCUUGAUGACACAGAACUGCCAAUCCACGGCCUACUUCCAGACUUCAUUUACGUGAAGAAAAAAUGUGCUGUUCAAACCAUCCAGCCAGUAAUCAUGGGUAUCUAAUCCAUGGGAUACUUGCCUUACCACCAAAACUUCCCUUGCUAAAUCCUACCACUCAGUCAAGGCUGCCUCCUCUAGGAAGUUUUCUUGGAUUAUACCCAAGGGAGGGAAAAAUCACUUCUUUAUUUGACCAACUGCAGUACUUUGUCCUCUAGUAUAGCAAUUAAGAAUUUAUUAUCAGGAGCCAGACAGACCAGAGUGCAAAUCCAAGUUCUUCCACUCACUAGUCAUGUGACUUCGGGCAAAUCAUUUCACCUCUUUCAGACCCAGUUUCAUCUGCUGUCAGUUGGGAUGGAAACACUACCGGGAGCUUCCUGAGGCUUGGACCAUAAUAUAGGUAAAGCCCCUGGCAUUCCAUCAGCACACAAUAAACAUGACCUAACUUUUGUAGCCAUCAGCCAUUUGUAAGCCACUGUUGUGAUUUUUUUUUUUUUACCACAACCUUUGCCAUAAUCUAUCAACUGCAACAGUUCCCAUUACUAUAGCAUUGACUCGAUAUUUCUCUUUAACUUGGGUGUUAAUGGACUCUCCCUCCUACCUGUUAAGCAAUUAUAUAUGGAAAAUUACUGCUGUUACUGUGUAUUUUUUAUGACAUACAUUUAAAAAAAUGCAUAACCACGGGGCACCUGGGUGGCUCAGUCGGUUAAACGUCUGACUUCGGCUCAGGUCAUGAACUCGCUUUCGUGAGUUCAAGCCCCUCAUUGGGCUCUAUGCUGACAGCUCAGAACCUGGAGUCUGCUUCAGAAUCUGUGUCUCCCUCUCUCUCUGCUCCUCCCCUGCUUGUGCUCUCUCUCUCUCUCUC